This 425-nucleotide ribosomal RNA is filed under the name uncultured bacterium. RNAcentral describes it as "partial 16S ribosomal RNA". It matches the Rfam family "Bacterial small subunit ribosomal RNA", at positions 354 to 796 of the family's 1533-position model. The record is from RNAcentral.
GUGGGGAAUAUUGGACAAUGGGCGCAAGCCUGAUCCAGCCAUGCCGCGUGAGUGAUGAAGGCCCUAGGGUUGUAAAGCUCUUUCACCGGGGACGAUAAUGACGGUACCCGGAGAAGAAGCUCCGGCUAACUUCGUGCCAGCAGCCGCGGUAAUACGAAGGGGGCUAGCGUUGCUCGGAAUUACUGGGCGUAAAGGGCGCGUAGGCGGACAGCUUAGUCAGAGGUGAAAGCCCAGGGCUCAACCUUGGAAUUGCCUUUGAUACUGGCUGUCUUGAGUUUGGGAGAGGUGAGUGGAACUCCGAGUGUAGAGGUGAAAAUCGUAGAUAUUCGAAAGAGCACCAGUGGCGAAGGCGACUCACUGGCCCACUACUGACGCUGAGGCGCGAAAGAGUGGGGACCAAACAGGAUUAGAUACCCCUGUGGUCC